This 497-nucleotide ribosomal RNA is filed under the name uncultured bacterium. RNAcentral describes it as "partial 16S ribosomal RNA". It matches the Rfam family "Bacterial small subunit ribosomal RNA", at positions 28 to 507 of the family's 1533-position model. The record is from RNAcentral.
GAUGAACGCUGGCGGCGUGCCUAAUACAUGCAAGUCGAACGCUGAAGCUUGGUGCUUGCACCGAGCGGAUGAGUUGCGAACGGGUGAGUAACGCGUAGGUAACCUGCCUCUUAGCGGGGGAUAACUAUUGGAAACGAUAGCUAAUACCGCAUAAAAGUCGAUAUCGCAUGAUAUUGAUUUGAAAGGUGCAAAUGCAUCACUAAGAGAUGGACCUGCGUUGUAUUAGCUAGUUGGUGAGGUAACGGCUCACCAAGGCGACGAUACAUAGCCGACCUGAGAGGGUGAUCGGCCACACUGGGACUGAGACACGGCCCAGACUCCUACGGGAGGCAGCAGUAGGGAAUCUUCGGCAAUGGGGGCAACCCUGACCGAGCAACGCCGCGUGAGUGAAGAAGGGUUUCGGAUCGUAAAGCUCUGUUGUAAGAGAAGAACGAGUGUGAGAGUGGAAAGUUCACACUGUGACGGUAACUUACCAGAAAGGGACGGCUAACUACGUG